AGGUUACCAAUUACUCUGCUUACUAAAAAUCUUGGUCAAUGAAAGCUGAGAUUUAAUCUAAAUUGCUUUAAAACUUUGUGACCUGACUAUAAGCCAAAGAAACUAAGGCUAAGGUUUUGAUUCUCCAUUUUCUCUCGUGGGAGAAACUACUGAGAGAACAAGAGUCACUAUCUUGCUCAGGCGACGUUUUAUGUUUAACUUUCUGCCUUUGUUCUAAGCACUGUUGACCAAGGUGUUCUUGAGGAGUGUCAUUAUGCCGAGAGGUAUUAUUAAGUUAAAAUUAACCUGCACAAAUUACGGGAAAGAGCUGUGUGUCCCAAAACCACCUCAGACGGUCCAGCCAGUCCUGUAACUCCCUGCUGAUGCUAACCGCCCUGGAGUGUUACCCCUAACCGUGAGCCAAUCAGAUUUGUACUCAUAUGUAGGUUUGCUUAAACACCUGGUUAAUGUAACUUUUUGGUUUUUGCCUUUAAACCCUGCUGGAAUGUUGCUCAGAACCUCUUCGCAUCACCGGUUACCGAGUGUGUGGAAAACCAAGCUCAAGCUUGCAAUAAAUGACUCUUUGCUGUUUGCAUUAAUUGUGGUCUCUGGUGGUCUGUAAGGGGGCAUCCAAAAACGGGGUACUUCAGAUGGGGGCUUGUCCGGGAUGCCCCCCAGAAGCCCACCCAGACACCUGAUCAGCGAGUUGUCUAGCCAGCCGCCCUGACAAACUAGUCCUGAAUGUUCUUCAGUGAAGGGUCUUCUGGGAAUGUUGUUCUACAAGUUUCUGGGACUCUACACAAGGCUGCCUCUGGUCCAGAGAGCAACUAGAAGUCUGACAUUUAGGUACUGUUCCAUUUCCCAAGUAUUCCAAGCCAUCUUCACAUUUACCAGCAAGCCCUAGAAGACAUGGCCUCACCAGUACUUGGUACUCACACAUUUCAUCCACUUGAACUCUGGGUCUGAGCACUGUCCCUCAGCUCUUCA
Molecule: long non-coding RNA, 966 nt
Organism: Dipodomys spectabilis (banner-tailed kangaroo rat)
Lineage: Eukaryota; Metazoa; Chordata; Mammalia; Rodentia; Heteromyidae
Exons: 3
Source: RefSeq, a predicted model, not a curated record